This 433-nucleotide ribosomal RNA is filed under the name uncultured bacterium. Its description in RNAcentral is "partial 16S ribosomal RNA". It matches the Rfam family "Bacterial small subunit ribosomal RNA", at positions 29 to 507 of the family's 1533-position model. The record is from RNAcentral.
AACGAACGCUGGCGGCAUGCCUAACACAUGCAAGUCGAACGAGACCUUCGGGUCUAGUGGCGCACGGGUGCGUAACGCGUGGGAACCUGCCCUUAGGUUCGGAAUAACUCCCCGAAAGGGGUGCUAAUACCGGAUAAUGUCUUAGGACCAAAGAGUUAUCGCCUUUGGAUGGGCGCGCGUUGGAUUAGCUAGUUGGUAGGGGAAAAGCCUACCAAGGGGACGAUCCAUAGCUGGUGUGAGAGGAUGAUCAGCCACACUGGGACUGAGACACGGCCCAGACUCCUACGGGAGGCAGCAGAGGGGAAUAUUGGACGAGGGGCGAAGGCCUGAUACAGCAAUGCCGGGUGAGUGAUGAAGGCCUUAGGGUUGUAAAGCUGUUUUAGCCGGGAUGAUAAUGACAGUACCGGGAGAAUAAGCUCCGGCUAACUCCGUG